AUACGGAGGGAGCAAGCGUUAUUCGGAAUCACUGGGCGUAAAGGACGCGUAGGCGGGUUUGUAAGUCAGGUGUGAAAUCCUACAGCUCAACUGUGGAACUGCACUUGAAACUACAGACCUAGAGUAUGGAAGGGGCAGAUGGAAUUAGUGGUGUAGGGGUAAAAUCCGUAGAUAUCACUAGGAAUACCGAAAGCGAAGGCGAUCUGCUGGGACAUUACUGACGCUGAGGCGUGAAAGCGUGGGGAGCAAACAGGAUUAGAAACCCCGGUAGUCC
This 274-nucleotide ribosomal RNA is filed under the name uncultured bacterium. Its description in RNAcentral is "partial 16S ribosomal RNA". It matches the Rfam family "Bacterial small subunit ribosomal RNA", at positions 523 to 796 of the family's 1533-position model. The record is from RNAcentral.